This 327-nucleotide ribosomal RNA is filed under the name uncultured eukaryote. RNAcentral's name for it is "partial 18S ribosomal RNA". It matches the Rfam family "Eukaryotic small subunit ribosomal RNA", at positions 1470 to 1796 of the family's 1831-position model. The record is from RNAcentral.
CCCUUAGAUGUUCUGGGCCGCACACGCGCUACACUGAAGGAGGCAGCGUGUACUCCUGGAUCGAAAGAUUUGGGUAACCCGCGAAUCUCCUUCGUGCUAGGGAUUGAGGUUUGCAAUUAUCCUUCAUGAACGAGGAAUUCCCAGUAAGUGCAAGUCAUAAGCUUGCGCUGACUACGUCCCUGCCCUUUGUACACACCGCCCGUCGCUACUACCGAUUGAAUGAUUUAGUGAGGACUUCGGACUGGGACCGAUGCGGCUUUCGGGCUGCGUCGGUGUUCUGGAAAGAUGUCCAAACCGUAUCAUUUAGAGGAAGUAAAANUCGUANCA